UCGAGCGAAGACUUCGGUCUUAGCGGCGGACGGGUGAGUAACGCGUGGGAACGUGCCCUUCACUGCGGAAUAGCCCCGGGAAACUGGGAUUAAUACCGCAUACGCCCUUCGGGGGAAAGAUUUAUCGGUGAAGGAUCGGCCCGCGUCUGAUUAGGUAGUUGGUGGGGUAACGGCCUACCAAGCCGACGAUCAGUAGCUGGUUUGAGAGGAUGAUCAGCCACACUGGGACUGAGACACGGCCCAGACUCCUACGGGAGGCAGCAGUGGGGAAUCUUGGACAAUGGGGGCAACCCUGAUCCAGCCAUGCCGCGUGAGCGAUGAAGGCCCUAGGGUUGUAAAGCUCUUUCGCCAGGGAAGAUAAUGACGGUACCUGGUAAAGAAACCCCGGCUAACUCCGUGCCAGCAGCCGCGGUAAUACGGAGGGGGUUAGCGUUGUUCGGAAUUACUGGGCGUAAAGCGCGCGUAGGCGGACCUUUAAGUCAGGGGUGAAAUCCCGGGGCUCAACCCCGGAACUGCCUUUGAUACUGGGGGUCUUGAGGUCGAGAGAGGUGAGUGGAAUUCCGAGUGUAGAGGUGAAAUUCGUAGAUAUUCGGAGGAACACCAGUGGCGAAGGCGGCUCACUGGCUCGAUACUGACGCUGAGGUGCGAAAGUGUGGGGAGCAAACAGGAUUAGAUACCCUGGUAGUCCACACCGUAAACGAUGGAUGCCAGUCGUCGGGUAGCUUGCUAUUCGGUGACGCAGUUAACGCAUUAAGCAUCCCGCCUGGGGAGUACGGCCGCAAGGUUAAAACUCAAAGGAAUUGACGGGGG
Molecule: ribosomal RNA, 810 nt
Filed under: Rhodovulum bhavnagarense
Lineage: Bacteria; Pseudomonadati; Pseudomonadota; Alphaproteobacteria; Rhodobacterales; Paracoccaceae
Description: bacterial SSU rRNA
Rfam family: Bacterial small subunit ribosomal RNA
Source: RNAcentral